This 96-nucleotide small nucleolar RNA is filed under the name Choloepus hoffmanni (Hoffmann's two-fingered sloth). RNAcentral's name for it is "Small nucleolar RNA SNORA42/SNORA80 family (ENSCHOG00000015539.1)". The record is from RNAcentral. Lineage: Eukaryota; Metazoa; Chordata; Mammalia; Pilosa; Megalonychidae.
GCAUCAUAGUGUACCCAUGCCAGAAUAAACUAGCCUCAAACCAUUGCCCAGCCUCAAUACCCAUGGGCUGUGAGCACUGAAGGGGGUUGUACAAUG